CUAAAACGUGGUCGAAUAUUAGAAAAUUCAACGUCUUGGCCCGCGAAAAUAGUCAAAAAUACGCAAAAUAUCUUUGGACGGCUGGAUUAUACGAGGUUUUAUUGAACUAUUUCAAAAAUUUUGAGGGAUAAAAACUGUACUUCGAAGCCUGAAAUAAUCACGAAAUUGACGGCAGACCUCAUCAUACAGUCGUCACAGUUUAAAAGACAGAGAAAUUGAUCUACGAGGAUACAAGAUUUCAGUCAUUGAAAACCUUGGAGCAACUUUGGAUAUCCAUCCGAAAGAAACAUUCUUUUAAAGAAGUUAAUAUAUUUUCAAGAAGUCAAGAACUCCUUUGUUGACAAUCCCUACUCAUGAGCUUUAGCAGGCACUCUACCAAAGACAUUAUUUCUCUUCGUCAAGAGAACAAGUCCAAGCGUGUAUCCAAACCCGUGAGAGUAACUUUGCGAAGAGUAGUAGUAAGGAAUUUACUCAGUAUUGCGUUGCUGAACAAGAACGUCUAAAAAUGUUAAUCGAUGGUUUAGCUCUUGUUCAGUAAGUAUUGUAAUUAAAAAACAGGUGCCAGGAAGAGAAUCUUGGCAGAAAUAAUUGGCAAUUUUCAUCGUUACAAAAUAAGGAGAAGUUGUAAUCCACGUCUAUGCUACACAGUAAAAACAGAUUGGUCAAAAUUACCAACUUUUGGUCGCGACCAAUUUUUAAAUUGGUCAAACCUUUGUGACCACUAAAAUUUGGUUAUUUUGAUAAAAAAAUUUGGUAAAAUUGUAAAUAUAACUGCACACGUCGGCGGCCAUCGCGAUAGCAGUUUCACUAACUUUACUUUGGAACUAUUAAAAAUAUUCGAUACUCCAAACAUCAGUAACCCCGGUUUAAGGUCGUUAAACUUCAUUGUCAUAAAUUAUUGGUAUGCCAAUAAUAUCCUUCCGCAGGUUCACCUACGGAAACCUUGUUACGACUUUUACUUCCUCUAAAUGAUCAAGUUUGACCAAGGAUGAGCCGGAACUCAUCUGACAGUGCCAAUCCAGAAGUUCGAAAAGGCAAUUAAACAAUCGUGAAAGCUAGUAUUAAGCGAUAACUAUUAAGCACAUUUCAUCACAAUGUAACCAAUUACCAUGGUUUUACCUAUAAUAAUACAGCGGUUUUUUGAAAAAAGCGUCAAUAUAUUGUGACAUUGUCGCAUAUUUACGACAUCAAUUAAACGACGUUAUUAUA
Xenia sp. Carnegie-2017 is the source of this 1209-nucleotide long non-coding RNA. RefSeq lists it as uncharacterized. The transcript is spliced from 3 exons. The record is from RefSeq and is a predicted model, not a curated record. Lineage: Eukaryota; Metazoa; Cnidaria; Anthozoa; Malacalcyonacea; Xeniidae.